UGACAGUGGCUGGCUUUUAGAUGAUUGUUAC
RNAcentral lists this non-coding RNA (31 nucleotides) under Homo sapiens (human). Lineage: Eukaryota; Metazoa; Chordata; Mammalia; Primates; Hominidae. The record is from RNAcentral.